RNAcentral lists this long non-coding RNA (220 nucleotides) under Dasypus novemcinctus (nine-banded armadillo). Its description in RNAcentral is "lncRNA (ENSDNOG00000051429.1)". The record is from RNAcentral. Lineage: Eukaryota; Metazoa; Chordata; Mammalia; Cingulata; Dasypodidae.
CAAACCUGGGAUGUCCCAUGGGGGAAGCAGGCAGUCAACUACUUGAGCCACAUCUGCUCCCAUCUUCACUUUUGAUACUUCUUCAUCUUCUAAAUGAUGCCCAGAAGCACUGAUGAGAAAACAAUCCUUGGCUAUGUCUCUCUAUUCACCUUAAUGAGAAUUGAGUUAGGACAUUAUUCCUGAUGUUUGGCUGUUCUUUAAUCAUUGUAAGUAUUACCAA